Long non-coding RNA from Triticum aestivum (bread wheat), 2455 nucleotides. RefSeq lists it as uncharacterized. The transcript is spliced from 3 exons. NCBI's taxonomy places the organism in Eukaryota, Viridiplantae, Streptophyta, Magnoliopsida, Poales, Poaceae. The record is from RefSeq and is a predicted model, not a curated record.
CCGAUGAAGACGGCCCGAACCCGCACAAGCGCCCCGGUCCAGAUCCCCGCCGUCGCUCCCGGACCCCGGCGCCCUCCUGGCUCCCAUCUCGCAUCGCCCCUGCAACUCAACUCCGGCGGCCCUCCCUGCAUCCCGCACCACCCCUGGCCACCCUCCACCUCGCACCACCUUGCCACUGGCCUACCCUCCCUGCACUGCCCCCUGGCCACCACGGCACCCAGGUCGUUCACCGCCGGCACCACAGUCCGUUCACCGCUGACACACGAGGCCGUUCAACGACGCAAUGAGUUCAGUCCAAGCUUCGGCAGGUGACGGCCGCGCCAAUUCUGUAGUGGCAACAGGAGGGUCAAGUCGCUGUGGUUGGAGGACGGCGCCCUGCUGCUGCUCUAAAUUAGAUACAAGCGCCGCAUCGAGCGGCUGUCCUCUACAGUGACACACGAAUAGCUACUGCCGCAUCAGUACGUGCAUCAGUACGUGUGUGCUGCCGCAUCAGUACUGAAACUCUACCUCGAACGAGCCCAUGCGGGAACCGUGGCCUCCAUCGCGUUUGGUCGUCUCCGUCCUCGUUAUCUUCUGUAUAGUGUGUUGUCGACCCCUUCGUUUCAAGCCCGUUUCUGGCCGACCACAUACUGCUUGAACUGAUGAGCUUGAACUACGUGUGCUGCUAGCCAUUUUGUAUUACUUGAACGGCCGCCCUUGCAUCAUCAAAAUCUUGAUUUACUGGGCAAGGCAUGUCAUGUGGGGUAGUUGGAAGGGUGGGGAAGCUCGUUGCCUUGCCGUGGUUCUAGCGGGAGACGGGCGGGCUGGUGUACACAGAGGAUAGAGGCCUUGGCCCUGUACGUCCAGGUUUGUAUCGAUACUCCGGCCAACUCCAUUGAUCUUCUCAGUAAAUGCUCCACUGGUAACUCCAUUCAAAAUUUUGUCAAGUUUGAUUGCCAUGCUCUAGCCUCACAUCACAUUUUGUUCCAGUUCUGCUCAUACUAUAAGUUUGUUAAAACCUACCUAAUAUAUAGCUAAUUCAACAUCCGACAUUUCUGUUGUAUUUGUGUGCCCACACCCGCAUAUGUUUGUACAAAAAAGAAAAUGAAUGUUAGAGUGGGUGAUUAAACAACUCAAUGUUCUUCUGUUAUUCAAGUAGGCACCUGAAAAAAAAAGUUCACCUUGGUUAGAUGAACCAAAUGGGUUGUGUAGUUCUUCUGUUAUUUAACGAGGCACCUGAAAAAAACUAAGCAGAAUAAAUAAGAUGGCAGUAACAACCGGGUUGACUUUUUGUAAUUUUCUGUGUAUGAUUGCAGUACUUUUUGUAAGAAAACACAUGGUACUUUGUAAAAAAACACUCCGAGUCUAUUUGGACUGAUCGUUCGACUUCUUUCGUAUAGAAGGUUCAAAAAGGUUUGCUCCUGAAAUUGCACAUAUUUAGAGUAUGCGAAUAUAUUAUGCAUUUCUUAAUUUUGCUCUUGUGUAACAGUUCAACAUGUCUUAUGUCAUCAAUUCAUAAUGAAAAAAAGAAGGAAUAGUUCAAAACGUGUGUGUUAAAAACAGAACAGUAUAGAUAAACUUCCGUAUCAGUUCGAUGGAAUAAAUCACAUCAGUUCUGACUCGGAUCGGCUGUUGCCUACAAUGCAUUGAAAAUAAAAUUUUCAAUCAAAUUAAUCUAGUUGUUCUAUAUUGGCUUAAAGUUUUCAUAUCUUUUAUCUUACCGAUGAUGCUUUGAACUGAACAAGAGCGCUGGGUAAUAAGUGUGCCUUUGGUUUAAUACUAAAAGAUCUGUUCGCUGACUUAUAGUAGCAAAAUCUCAUGGAAGUGUGUGUUGGUGGCUUCAAUUAAUUUUACGCUUGCAUACAGGAUGGUGGCAGUGGUAGCGCAGAAUUGGAGAAAGAAAAAGAGGAAAGCCAUCCAAAAAACUAACAUUUUUUCAUGUUUCUCUCUAGCUGAAAUAAAGCAAGACUGAUGUACUACACUUCAUCUCUCUGCACAGCAGGUUCAUGUACAUCGACGACGUCGCCAUGCGUGCACGCUCCAACCUGUCCCGUGUCGCAGCCCCACCACUCGUUGACGAUGCACUCCAACCCCGAGGACCUCCAUGAUGGAGGUCGCCUCGCAGCCUAGCGGCGAGAUAACUCAUCUUCCUUUGUUUGUUGGUUUCUCUUGCAUUUACGGACAUCUUGGGAUUGCUAGGUGCAGAAUCAAGAAGCCCAAUCAUCAUUAGGGAUGAAAAAAAGAGAGAAGCACGGGAAGAGGUACUAGUAGAAGAGGAAGAAGUAAUGUGAAAAAUGAGAUAAAUGUGAGAAUAGCAAGUAGUAAAGCUUGAGAGGGAUUCAGAUUUUGUUUUCACAUUCUUGUUGUACACGUACCUUUGGUCUGUAGAUGCACCAUAAUGGAUCUAGGAAGUAUGAAUGGUUAAUACAUCAAUGGUGCACUAUGCAUCUUUGGCAGGUUUUUAUGCAUUUUUAAA